UCAGUCUUUUUUCAAAGCUGCAUAGAAACUGUUUUUGUGCCCUAUCCAGAGUGAAGAUGGUGAGUGCUGUAUCCAGAACCUGAGAACCCCGCAAGCAAUCACUUGCCUGUGUAUUGACCAAGUUAAUGGCUUCAUUGUGGCUGGAGUCCAUGAUACCAUCAGGGUUUAUGACCCAAAAUCUGGGGUACAAGUACAAAGUUACACAGGUCAUGAAGACACAAUCAAGGGUCUGAUCCAUAUCCCAGAAAUGAAACAGUAUAUGUCGGUAUCACUGGAUGGCACAGCAUGCAUGUGGAAAGCCUGUCGCCCAGAGGAUGAGCCUGAAGACUAGGUCAAGUUGGUGACUUUAAUCUCCGCUGUGUGUUACUCAGGACCUGGAUUCUGGGCAUCUCUGGCUCUAUCUGAAUGAAUUGUAUAGUUCUACCCGGGUCACUGUCUCUGCAAGAAACUNAGAAGCUAAGAAAUCUCUGGGUGGAGUUUGCUUCCUGUUGUCUUUCAUAGCUCUGGCCUCUGCUCUGCCCCUCCCUGUGGUUCACUUUCCAACUCAUUUUUUUGCCCUCGCACUCCAUGCAAAAAAUACUCGUUUGUGANAAACAUUUGCAGUGAAGAUACUUUGUGCUGACUAAGUUGACAUCAGGCAAUUAGAACAUUGUGGAUACAGGAUUUGGGGGCUGGCUUUGCUGCUGUUGUCUGCCCAUGUCUGCUGCCCUUAAAUUAGAUUUGGGCAUGAAAGAGAUAAGCAAUUUGUCGAUUUAGGCCAGAAUGCAAGUACUUCAAAGAGCCAGACACACCAGCGAUUAGAUAUCCUCAGCCGGCCUGAAGCUUUGCAGGAAGUGUUUCUGUNAGUGAGUCAUCUCUAUACGAGCAUAGAGUCAUC
RNAcentral lists this long non-coding RNA (877 nucleotides) under Salvator merianae (Argentine black and white tegu). RNAcentral describes it as "lncRNA (ENSSMRG00000007213.1)". The record is from RNAcentral. Lineage: Eukaryota; Metazoa; Chordata; Lepidosauria; Squamata; Teiidae.